This is a long non-coding RNA of Coregonus clupeaformis (lake whitefish), 800 nucleotides long. RefSeq lists it as uncharacterized. The transcript has 3 exons. The record is from RefSeq and is a predicted model, not a curated record. Lineage: Eukaryota; Metazoa; Chordata; Actinopteri; Salmoniformes; Salmonidae.
UUGUUGCAGGAACUGACUCUGAUAAGAAUAAGCUCAAACGGGACACUGCUAGCAAAGGAAGAUCCAACUCUUUGAUCCGAUGAAACUGUAUUUCUUUGAACAAUAUUAGGGGGGUGCACCGUUCCUAGAGGUACUGCAAUACCAGGUCGAUGCGUGGAGUGGACGGAGCAAACCCCUAUUCCAUCUCCCUGUUCCAAAAAUCAAUGUAAUAAAUGGUUCCCGGACAGGGAGUGGAAUCGCAACGGCACCUUGCGGUUGAAGGCUCUGUUCCGAGACGGACGUCGCAUACUUUGAAAUCUUCCAAACUUUGCGUUGUCUUCAGUCCAGCCAGAGUCCGUCGAAGAACAGAAAGUUACCAAACCACAGAAGAAGAUGAAAAUAUGUCGGUUUCAGCGAUGGCUUUAUGGGAUCGCUAGCAACUUGUAAACAAUUACCCAUUCCUAUAAGGAAUUGUCAAGGAGGUGGACAGCUGGGCAAGUAAAAUAGCCUUUGGUUUAUCAUUCACAUUCUAUUAUAUCUGAAAUUAUUAUGAUUUCAAUUAAUGUCAUAUCAGAGAGCACACAAUGUUUUAAUUUGUCACUUUUUGCUUAAAGGUCAGUACCCUGUCUAGCCUGCCAGAAGUUUGAGAGGGCGAAGACUGGCGCUGGAGUUGAAGCCCAUCAAAGUUGUUUCACCAUGGCACAUGAUCGGGGUGGACCUCAUCGGACCACUUUAAAUGUUAGGGGUGGACCUCAUCGGACCCUUCACAAAAUCCAGGAAUGGGAUUCACUUUACCAAUUGGGUGGAGGCAAUACCCAUUA